RNAcentral lists this non-coding RNA (115 nucleotides) under Climacostomum virens. The record is from RNAcentral. Lineage: Eukaryota; Ciliophora; Heterotrichea; Heterotrichida; Climacostomidae.
ACGGGCUCGGCCACGCAGACGGUAAACCCCAUCAACCAGUGCUCGGUGGUCUUCAAGGCCCAGCACGCCUUCCAGUGGAUCGAGAACGUCUGCGGCGGCCACCCGCCCAGCCCCA